This 243-nucleotide ribosomal RNA is filed under the name uncultured marine eukaryote. RNAcentral describes it as "partial 18S ribosomal RNA". It matches the Rfam family "Eukaryotic small subunit ribosomal RNA", at positions 1193 to 1456 of the family's 1831-position model. The record is from RNAcentral.
CUAAUUGACUCAACGCGGGGAAACUCACCAGGUCCAGACACAAUGAGGAUUGACAGAUUGAGAGCUCUUUCUUGAUUUUGUGGGUGGUGGUGCAUGGCCGUUCUUAGUUGGUGGAGUGAUUUGUCUGCUUAAUUGCGAUAACGAACGAGACCUUAACCUGCUAAAUAGCCCGUGUUGCUUUGGCAGCACGCUGGCUUCUUAGAGGGACUAUCGGCUCAAGCCGAUGGAAGUUUGAGGCAAUAA